GACGAACGCUGGCGGCGUGCUUAACACAUGCAAGUCGAACGGAAAGGCCCUGCUUGCAGGGUACUCGAGUGGCGAACGGGUGAGUAACACGUGGGUGAUCUGCCCUGCACUUCGGGAUAAGCCUGGGAAACUGGGUCUAAUACCGGAUAGGAGCCAUUUUUAGUGUGAUGGUUGGUAAGUUUUUUCGGUGUAGGAUGAGCUCGCGGCCUAUCAGCUUGUUGGUGGGGUAAUGGCCUACCAAGGCGGCGACGGGUAGCCGGCCUGAGAGGGUGGACGGCCACAUUGGGACUGAGAUACGGCCCAGACUCCUACGGGAGGCAGCAGUGGGGAAUAUUGCACAAUGGGCGCAAGCCUGAUGCAGCGACGCCGCGUGGGGGAUGACGGCCUUCGGGUUGUAAACUCCUUUCGCUAGGGACGAAGCUUUUUGUGACGGUACCUAGAUAAGAAGCACCGGCUAACUACGUG
This 465-nucleotide ribosomal RNA is filed under the name uncultured bacterium. Its description in RNAcentral is "partial 16S ribosomal RNA". It matches the Rfam family "Bacterial small subunit ribosomal RNA", at positions 28 to 507 of the family's 1533-position model. The record is from RNAcentral.